AUACACAAAGUUUCAAUGGAUUCAUCUGGGUUAAAAUUGCAAUUGUAAUUGCAAAUGAAAUCAUCACUAUCACACAGUUAUCUCUGUUCUCCUGAUACCCUUUUCACCAACAAUUCAAAACACUCCAAUUCCAUCAUUUUCACAAACCAUUUCACCAAAAACUUUGUUAGAAACCUUCAAUGUUGAUGUUCAUAGAGUAGAAAAUAG
RNAcentral lists this long non-coding RNA (207 nucleotides) under Medicago truncatula (barrel medic). Its description in RNAcentral is "long non-coding RNA (MTRU_LNC003656)". The record is from RNAcentral. Lineage: Eukaryota; Viridiplantae; Streptophyta; Magnoliopsida; Fabales; Fabaceae.